This 219-nucleotide long non-coding RNA is filed under the name Elaeis guineensis (African oil palm). Its description in RNAcentral is "long non-coding RNA (EGUI_LNC014819)". The record is from RNAcentral. Lineage: Eukaryota; Viridiplantae; Streptophyta; Magnoliopsida; Arecales; Arecaceae.
UAGUGUAUGGUGGACUGGCCACUCGUGGACUGAGCGGCUCACAGAAGUAGGGCAUGGUCUACCAUGCGGUCCAUAAGCUGGUGCACAUCGGGUUCACACAUGCUCCAUAGAAAUUUUAUCUUGAUCUUUUAUCGCAAUGCACAGGCUGGCAGAAGUCUUGUGCAUUGAUUGAUGGCUAAGAGGUGCUGAAGCAUGGCAUCAGAUGGUUGAGAAUGCGUG